UGUUUGUAUAGUGUGUGUAUAUAAUGCAAUGUCUUUGUGUAGUGUGCAUUAUAUAAACACACUGCAUUAUAUACACACACUAUGCAAAC
Non-coding RNA from Pelobates cultripes (western spadefoot toad), 89 nucleotides. The record is from the annotation of a GenBank genome assembly. Lineage: Eukaryota; Metazoa; Chordata; Amphibia; Anura; Pelobatidae.